GAAAUAAGUAUUCCACAUAUUCAAAAAAUGUCACAUACAUAAAAUCUCAUACAGGGCUGAAAUCCAUCCAUACGCGAAUUUAACUAGUGUAUUGACAUUCCAUACUAAAAAAGCUCUCUGUAAUUUUAUUACCGUUCUCUGUAAAUUAUAGCCGUUAACCUUUCUCGUCUUCUCCAAUGGGGACGCCGCUUGGCGAUCCUCCACCGAAUCCUCUCAAUAGAAGCCCUCAAUUCAGCGGGGGUAAUCCCCUACCUAUCUCUGCCAAUGGCUAUCACCAAUCUUAUGCAGCCUCUCUUACAGAACCCUCCUCUUCUGCAACCCCAAAUCGUCAAGAGCAAGGGAUGGUGAUGGCUCGAAGGUCAGUUCACAACGGGAUGCCUGCGGUGAUCUUCAAAGCAUCUGAUUGCAAUGGAAUCAUGGCAACUCCGUGUAAAAGAACGAUUGUCGGCAGGUGUAAUACCCCAUACUUUUUUCUAGCUCCUAGUGUAUCAAGGGUUAGCUUUGAAAAUGUAUAAUUCUUGAUGCGAGUAGAAUUUUCCAGCUUUAGACCCUUUCAUUUGUAGAUAAUUGAAUUACCUUUCAAACGAUACCAAUUUUAUCUUAAUUCGAUAUUCGGUUGAGAAGUUAUAACGAUUUUAGUGAAAGCAGUAGAUCACCGCGAUAAGCACCGCGUUGCGGUGAAGGACAAAUUCGCAAUUGUCCGAUUACAGUGAAGCACCACGAUUGACCCGCGUCGCGGUGAAGUUUCAGUUUCCGUUCGUCCCAUUCCAGUAGCUCAUCGCGAUUAGCCUAUAUUGCGCCAAACUUUCCAAUUGGACAAAUGACGCGUUGCGGUGGAGUGCAAAAUGACACUCAUCCUUUUCCAGUGGUGCAACGCGAUUACGUUGCGUCACGCCAGAGGCCAAAAUGGCAAUUGUCCCUUUUUCAGUAAGCCACCAUGAUAGCGUCGCGUCGCGGUGGCAUGCCAAAUCUGGAUUUUAAGUUUCGAGUAAAAUUUUAAAAGGGCAAUUUAGUCUUUUUCAAAGCCCCCAAAUCGUGAAUAACAGAGGAUUAAACCUAUUAUGCUCACUUUUCAUUAACUUUCUCUCAAAGAAACCCUAGAACAUCAAACCUUCAUCCCCAAUAAAUCCAAAUUCCUCCAUUCUUUCUUCAAGAUAACUCAAAAUUAAAGAUUCUCAAUCCAAGAACUUCAAGAAUCAAUCUUUAAGAGCACAAAUAGGAACUUAAAGUUCAAACUUCUUCAUCUAGUUAUCAAUUAAGGUAUGUGGGGUUAUGAGCAAGGAUAAAUCUUUCAUCCUUGUGCCCUAAACUAGUUUUUAACUACAAAGUUACAUGAUUUUGUAUGAUUACCCAUGAAUUUCAAUUUAGGGUUCAUACCCAAAUGUUGCUAUUUGAAGAUUAUGAGAUUUUAAGUAAUUUAAAUGAUGAAUUGCAUGGUUAUUUUCGUAUUUUCAUGUGUAUGAUAUAAAUUUUCAGAUUUAGAAUUGAAUUUCAAUGCUUUCAUUAUUAAGCAUGAACUUUACUAUGAUUUGACAUGAAUUUGAUGCAUGGGUUAUUUAGCCCUAGUUUGAAUGUUGAUAUUUCAAGAAUAACUAUACUUUAAGCAUCCCAUGACUAGUUAUUUUCAGAUCUUAAUAAAUAUUUGAUCUUUUGGUCUUAGCUUAGACUUGGAAUCUACUUUACAGUCUCAGUUACAGUUUUAGUUAACAGAUAUACAGUUGGUUUUCAUUAUAAACCAUUAUACUAGUUUUAAAGUGGAAUUCCAACAGAAUGAGCAUACAAAUUAAAGAGAGUAGUAUUUAGCACCGAGUUGGGUAUGUUCUCAUGCCCCAGAACUACGAGCCAACAUAGGUAAAAAUUAUCAGAUCAUUCCCAUUUCUAUAUGGAUGAAAGAUACAGAUGUGAUCACUUAGAUUAGGUUAUACUCCUUGGCAAGAGUAUGACACCUCUCCCCAACAUGAGAUUUUUCCAUAAGCGAACUAGACGUUGGAUACUAUAAUAGCUCACAUAGUGUAUGUCGGUUAGAUAAACCUCCCUACAGACUACAAACUACAGAUUUUAGAAUAGAAUAAUCCUAACAGAAAAGCUCUUAGAAACCAAGUGUAAAGGCUCACAAUUUUAUUCAGAUAUUGUUUUACAAAAGAUAUUAGCUAUAAGAUUUCAGAUUUCAGAUUAUAGAUACAGAAGUGAGUCCUUCUACACUUAGACAACAUGAUUUAAAGACAGAAUACUAAUACAACUUUUAGAAACUAAAUGCUAUGACUCACUAGAUUUAUACAGUAUGUUUUGCUACUCAUUAUCAUGAUUCUCAGUUUUCAGUUAUUCAAGUAAUGUGAGUCAUCUACAUUUAGCAUGCAUUCUUUUUUACAAAUUUAUAUUACUAUUGAGUUAUUGAUUUAUUUGUGCAUUCACCCCCAUAUACUCAGUACAAUCCAAAAGUACUGAUCCACAUAUACGUCUAUGUGCUACAUUAUCUCAUAAUGUAGGUUCAGGUGCUCAGUUUCAACAGCGUGAGUGAUUUCGAGUAUCUCUAUCGGCAUCCCGACAUUUGGUGAGUCCUCAUAGUUUGGGGACUUAGUCAUUUAGUUUUUCAACUUAUUAGUAUAGAUGAUUCAGUAUUUUCAG
RNAcentral lists this long non-coding RNA (2625 nucleotides) under Capsicum annuum. Its description in RNAcentral is "long non-coding RNA (CANN_LNC000270)". Lineage: Eukaryota; Viridiplantae; Streptophyta; Magnoliopsida; Solanales; Solanaceae. The record is from RNAcentral.